UCGAGAAUCUUCCGCAAUGGGGGAAACCCUGACGGAGCGACGCCGCGUGGAGGAUGAAGGCCUUCGGGUUGUAAACUCCUGUCAGUCCGGAAGAAGAUCUGCAAUUAUGUAGAUUGACUGUACGGGCAGAGGAAGCUCCGGCUAACUCCGUGCCAGCAGCCGCGGUAAUACGGAGGGAGCGAGCGUUGUUCGGAUUUAUUGGGCGUAAAGGGCAUGUAGGCGGCUUUGCAAGUCGGGUGUGAAAGCCCAUCUCUUAAAGAUGGAACGGCAUUCGAAACUGCAAGGCUUGAGUUCAGGGGAAGAAAGCGGAAUUCUCGGUGUAGCGGUGAAAUGCGUAGAUAUCGAGAAGAACACCAGCGGCGUAAGCGGCUUUCUAUCCUGAAACUGACGCUGAGAUGCGAAAGCCAGGGGAGCGAACG
Molecule: ribosomal RNA, 419 nt
Filed under: uncultured prokaryote
Description: bacterial SSU rRNA
Rfam family: Bacterial small subunit ribosomal RNA
Source: RNAcentral